UAAGACAGAGGGUGCAAACGUUGUUCGGAAUUACUGGGCGUAAAGCGCGUGUAGGCGGCGUAGCAAGUCGGGCGUGAAAGCCCACGGCUCAACCGUGGAAGAGCACUCGAAACUGCUGCGCUAGAGUUCUGGAGAGGAAGGCGGAAUGCUUGGUGUAGAGGUGAAAUUCGUAGAUAUCAAGCGGAACACCGGUGGCGAAGGCGGCCUUCUGGACAGUGACUGACGCUGAAACGCGAAAGCGUGGGGAGCAAACAGGAUUAGAUACCCUGGUAGUCCACGCCGUAAACGAUGGGUGCUAGGUGUCGCGGGCUUUGACCCUCGCGGUGCCGCAGCUAACGCGUUAAGCACCCCGCCUGGGGAGUACGGCCGCAAGGCUA
RNAcentral lists this ribosomal RNA (377 nucleotides) under uncultured bacterium. RNAcentral's name for it is "bacterial SSU rRNA". It matches the Rfam family "Bacterial small subunit ribosomal RNA", at positions 521 to 896 of the family's 1533-position model. The record is from RNAcentral.